Long non-coding RNA from Beta vulgaris subsp. vulgaris (sugar beet), 246 nucleotides. RefSeq lists it as uncharacterized. The record is from RefSeq and is a predicted model, not a curated record. The transcript is spliced from 3 exons. NCBI's taxonomy places the organism in Eukaryota, Viridiplantae, Streptophyta, Magnoliopsida, Caryophyllales, Amaranthaceae.
CUACGAUAGUUGCUUUUAGGAGGUUUCGGAUGAGCGGCUACAAAGUUUGUCGGGAGAAGCUUUUGUGGAAAAAUGUUGAGUACCUCAACAACAAGGAGGCACGGAGUGCGGUUAUUUUGUAUGCGAUACAUUUUUGACGUACUCACUUCAUAUUUUGGUUCGGAGGAUUUGGACAAAGUAAGUUCAUAUAAUUACUCAUUUCAUAUUUAAUAUAUUUAACUAUUUGAUGCUAACUUUGGUAAAUUA